This 253-nucleotide ribosomal RNA is filed under the name uncultured bacterium. Its description in RNAcentral is "partial 16S ribosomal RNA". It matches the Rfam family "Bacterial small subunit ribosomal RNA", at positions 524 to 776 of the family's 1533-position model. The record is from RNAcentral.
GACAGAGGUGCCGAGCGUUAGGCGGAAUCACUGGGCUUAAAGCGUGUGUAGGCGGACCUGUAAGUGUCUUGUGAAAUCCCCCGGCUCAACCGGGGAACGGCUGGGCAUACUGCGGGUCUUGGGCCACUCAGGGGUCAGCGGAACAAGCGGUGGAGCGGUGAAAUGCGUAGAUAUCGCUUGGAACGCCGACGGCGAAAGCAGCUGACUGGGGGUGAGCCGACGCUGAGACACGAAAGCCAGGGGAGCGAACGGG